Macrobrachium nipponense is the source of this 385-nucleotide long non-coding RNA. RefSeq lists it as uncharacterized. The record is from RefSeq and is a predicted model, not a curated record. The transcript is spliced from 4 exons. NCBI's taxonomy places the organism in Eukaryota, Metazoa, Arthropoda, Malacostraca, Decapoda, Palaemonidae.
GUCUUCCCACUCUAUACGCUGUGAACGAGGCUGCCCGUUUAAUUUCGAUUUCAUCUGUGGCAGCGAUGGACAGAACUACGUUAAUCGCUGUGUCUUCGAAGUUGGACAAUGUCGUAAUCCUCGCCUGAGGGUACGAUGUAAAGGAAGGUGUGAGGAAUGUUUGUACGGAUGAAGUCGUUACCACUACGCCCUUCUUCAGCCUGUUCGUGACCUACAGCAGUAGCCUCUCUAUCAGGUUACUGAUAAGUAGCGAACAGGUCGGCAACAGUAUCGCCAACAAAGAAGAUUUUUGUUUUGAACAGCCCAGGUCCAUUUCGUGAACCUUAAAACUGACCAUAUUUUGAAAUGCCAAGAAGAAGAAGAAAAAACACUUAAUUAAACUGAA